GUUUGAUCCUGGCUCAGGAUNAACGCUAGCGGCAGGCUUAACACAUGCAAGUCGAGGGGUAUUGGUUUUCGGACCAAGAGACCGGCGCACGGGUGCGUAACGCGUAUGCAAUCUACCUUUUGCAGAGGGAUAGCCCAGAGAAAUUUGGAUUAAUACCUCAUAGUAUAGUACUUUGGCAUCAAGGAACUAUUAAAGUCACAACGGCAAAAGAUGAGCAUGCGUCCCAUUAGCUAGUUGGUAAGGUAACGGCUUACCAAGGCUACGAUGGGUAGGGGUCCUGAGAGGGAGAUCCCCCACACUGGUACUGAGACACGGACCAGACUCCUACGGGAGGCAGCAGUGAGGAAUAUUGGACAAUGGGCGCAAGCCUGAUCCAGCCAUGCCGCGUGCAGGAUGACGGUCCUAUGGAUUGUAAACUGCUUUUAUACAGGAAGAAACACUCCGACGUGUCGGAGCUUGACGGUACUGUAAGAAUAAGGAUCGGCUAACUCCGUG
This 495-nucleotide ribosomal RNA is filed under the name uncultured bacterium. RNAcentral's name for it is "bacterial SSU rRNA". It matches the Rfam family "Bacterial small subunit ribosomal RNA", at positions 11 to 507 of the family's 1533-position model. The record is from RNAcentral.